Magnolia sinica is the source of this 1090-nucleotide long non-coding RNA. RefSeq lists it as uncharacterized. NCBI's taxonomy places the organism in Eukaryota, Viridiplantae, Streptophyta, Magnoliopsida, Magnoliales, Magnoliaceae. The transcript is spliced from 3 exons. The record is from RefSeq and is a predicted model, not a curated record.
UUGAUGGUAAUUACACAAGCCUAUAAGAAGCCCGGUAGGCUUCUUAGCAGCAGAUUUUUCCAUGAUAACUAGUUCAGGUAUGUAGACUUGCAGCUAGGCUAUCAACAGGGAUGCAGAUUGCGUACUGAGUUACUCAGUGAGCCCACCGUUAUGUCUUCUUGACUUAUCAUGAAGUAUGUAACAUACAAGGGUGACUCUUUGUGCAUGCAUGUACACCUCGCAGAUUUUUUUUAAAGGCUUUUGCAAGCUUGAAAUUUUAAAUGCUCAAAGAGGACUGCUGUGAUAAGAGCAUCUGAUGAUUUUUGGCCGAGAGUCCCAGCGUCACAUACAAUCUAUAUUGCAUCUGUUGCCUACAACACCUUUUUCCUUGGAGAAUUCAUGCAGCCUGAUUGGGAUAUGUUUCAUAGCGUUCACCCGAUGGCUGAAUACCAUGGAGCAGCUCGUGCGGUCGGAGGAAUUUUGCAUAAAGCUAUGGUAACUCUUUUACAGCUCAUGAUUAGUUUUCUAUAAAGCGGAAAUUUUGCAUAAAGCUAUGGUAACUUUAUUUGCAAUGUUUCCAGUUUAUGAUGUAGUAAGACGAGACACAUUUACAAAUCUUGCGGAUAUAAGGGCUAAGGAAAUCGAUCUCUACUCAACUAAUCAAGAUUGCAUCAAGAUGCUUGAUGGAAACAAAGUUGAUAAGGUAAUUCCUACAAAGGUUUACAACAACUAUACCUCCAUUCUCAGAGGACUUUUCAAUGCAGGGUGGCCUCAGAACUUCUAUGCUGAAAGUGGAAGGGUUGUCACGAAGAAAGAGGGAAUUGAUUUUGCUCGGGAGUAUGGAUGUCUUUUCCUUGAAUGUUGUGCAAAAACUCGAAUUAAUGUAUAACAAUGUUUUAAAGAGCUUGUUUUAAAGGUGCAUGCUCUGUCAACAUUUAUUUUUAUUUUAUUUCAGGAUGAUCAUGUGGACAUGGAAAAAGUUGUCCUUGGCAUUUGUGAUGGAAGAGUGGUCUGACGGAUCGAUUUCUGUCAGAAAAACCGCAUAAAACAGAUAGUCCACUCGUUUCAACUCAUAGUAGAAACCGAGUAGAAAUGAGUGGAGUCUGUUAUU